This 301-nucleotide ribosomal RNA is filed under the name uncultured bacterium. RNAcentral describes it as "partial 16S ribosomal RNA". It matches the Rfam family "Bacterial small subunit ribosomal RNA", at positions 509 to 807 of the family's 1533-position model. The record is from RNAcentral.
CAGCAGCCACGGGAAUACGUAGGUGGCAAGCGUUGUCCGGAAUUAUUGGGCGUAAAGCGUCUGUAGGUGGCUUUUCAAGUCCGCCGUCAAAUCCCAGGGCUCAACCCUGGACAGGCGGUGGAAACUACCAAGCUGGAGUACGGUAGGGGCAGAGGGAAUUUCCGGUGGAGCGGUGAAAUGCGUUGAAAUCGGAAAGAACACCAACGGCGAAAGCGCUCUGCUGGGCCGACACUGACACUGAGAGACGAAAGCUAGGGGAGCAAAUGGGAUUAGAUACCCCCGUAGUCCCUGUCUCUUAUAC